UGAAAAUCCUUUGAACAUAUUGAUUGGAGAUUUGCCAGAAUUCUCAAAUACUGUACCAGUCAACAGUAUUAAUCUUGGGGAAAACAAAGUUCUGGGUGGAAUCUGUUCAGAAAAAGAAUAUCCUUUGUUUUCUUUUUAAAGGAAAAAUAGAAAAAUGUUCGUAAGCCAAAAGUCAGCCUGUACACAUGCAAUUACACAACAUCAAAAAAUUGAUCUAGCUCUUUUUUUUUUAAAACAAAUUAUACUCUAAAAGCAAAGAUUUGAUUAAUUAAUGAAGAAAAUACCAUAUGCUGACCCAAAUUUCUAUACUUUUUCUGCAGAAACAAGUAUAUAUCCCGCUGGAAGAAAAUAUGAAUUUUAUAACACAUACACACUCUCACUGAAAUAAAAAGCAAGGCAUGCAGAAGCACACUGAGAAUAGAGAAAUGGAGAUCAACACAUUAAGAAGUACAAAGAACAAAGCUACAGCCCACCUUGUGUCGAAAAACAGAAAAUGCAGCGUUCAAAAUCCGUUUUUGUAAGCAGAGCGCCCAUCUUCAGCAAGAUGCUGGACACAAGGAUAACUUGAGGUUCGUAAAUGUCACUGCUGUUGCCAGGGGACAUGCUCCCAUGUGUUAUGUCAGUGGGAAAACACUCUGAAUUAGGGUGGAUUUGCACUGGUACAGUUUCUAGGAGGAAAUGUGACAUAGCAUAAAUCAUUACUUUUAGAUCCCAUGUCUAUGCAGCUUGAGCUCUACUGAAAUCAAAGAGGAUCUUUCCAUUUAUACAUUCAGUCAGACCCAGUUGAAAAUUAUUCGUUCACAGGGCAAAAAAUGGUAGAGUUCAUACUCUUUAAGAAGUGCUAUAAUUGUGUUUGGAAAUUUCCCAUAACAUGUUUGUAACAAGG
This 886-nucleotide long non-coding RNA is filed under the name Melopsittacus undulatus (budgerigar). RNAcentral describes it as "lncRNA (ENSMUNG00000019842.1)". Lineage: Eukaryota; Metazoa; Chordata; Aves; Psittaciformes; Psittaculidae. The record is from RNAcentral.